GGCCACUCUUCCAUGGAAUUGUGGGGGGUCCGUUUCCUCCUCCACUAAGGCUAAACGCCAAGAACAGCCCUCCAGGAUCACCUCGUGACUGCUGCGAGUGGGGCAGCCUUAUUCUCCUACCUCAGACCUUU
Small nucleolar RNA from Otolemur garnettii (small-eared galago), 131 nucleotides. The record is from Ensembl. NCBI's taxonomy places the organism in Eukaryota, Metazoa, Chordata, Mammalia, Primates, Galagidae.